This is a non-coding RNA of Meleagris gallopavo (turkey), 3767 nucleotides long. Lineage: Eukaryota; Metazoa; Chordata; Aves; Galliformes; Phasianidae. The record is from RefSeq and is a predicted model, not a curated record.
UGCCCGCAACGCGCCUGUGCGAGGGGCGGCGCGGGCGGGGACAAGGCGGAGAGCCGGCCGCAGAUAGCCCUCCGCGCGUGCGCGCGCACCGCCCUCCCGCCGGACCAAUGAACGCCGUCGUUUUCUAUCCGCCCCAGCACCGCGUCUCGAUGCGUUCUAGAUGUGCGCGUGCGCGUCACUGAAGCUCGAGCCCGGGCGGAAGGGGAGAGGCGUCUGUGCCCUCACCGCUCCUUCAAGGCGCUGGAGCGCCGAGGUUAAUAUUUUGCCAAACUGGAGUAGUUUGAGGAGCUCCAGGGUGCCCUUGUGACAGUGCAAGAGUUGUCCCUUUUUGGCCAUGGCAUGCUGUCAGCCAGCACACCAGAUGGAAGUGGAGAAGUGGAGAAGUGUGGCCUUCUGUUGGGAAAGGUACUCUGCAGACACCCAGGAAGAACACAACAGUUGUUGAAUUCAUUGCUAGUGAGGAAAACAGCAGUGUUAGCACUGAAAAAAGAGGGGGUGAAUCUGGCUUCUGGUGCCUCAUGCAAGCUAUUCUUCAGCUCCUGUUCAUUACUAUUUUUCACAUCUUUCAGGGACAUGGAGGAAAUGAAAGCACUUUAUAGCUGCAUCACUUGAUAAAGUGAAAAGAAGAAUUCUCCUCUCUUCUCUUCCCAGAGGACAGGUCAGCGUCCUGCUGCAUGGCCCAGCCUCCAGCAUUGCUCAUCCUUCAUUUGUGCCUGCUUUGCAACUGAGCAUCUCCACACCUCUUAAUUUGAUCACAGCAAAUGAAAGGAGUGUUUUCAGUGUAAUAAACCAGCUGUUUGAAGCAGUGCUGAUGGAGCAGCAUCCUUUUUGCAUGCUUGUAACUGUGUCAGCAAAUACUUGCUGCUGUGUUGGGUCAGGAGGGAGCUAUUCAUCCUCCUGGGCAGCAGGGAUAUCCCAGGCUUCUAUAAAAAGGCUCAGGGGGAGGGAGUAACAUUGAAAUAACAAGCUAGACAAAGAGACAAAGUCAUAUCUGAAAAAGUCAAAGGCCACAUAACGCCUCUGCUCCAGAGCCAUCAACUUGUGUUUGGUUGGGGAUGGAAUUUCAGAGCUGUCUGAGGUGGAUGUGCCACUUCCCAGGGCUCUGCUUGUGCUGCUGCAGGUAGGACCUGGGAACACAGGGGAUGCACAUCCUGAGUGCUUUUGCCAAUGCAGACCACAAAUGUACACUGCAGCUGAGCUGAGCUGAGAGAUCCCCUGCCCGCCUGUAGCCCUGCUCACUGCACGCAGUCUGGCCAUUCGCUGAGCUGGUUCGCCCUCCUCACUUGGUGGGAGAGGACUCACUUGUUUCACAGGCACUUGUUUCUGCUGGUUUGGGGAAUCAAACUGCCUCACAGCAGGACCAGCAAAGCUGGAGCUGACACGAAGGAGAAAGAGGAAAGGGCUCACCAGAAUCCCAAAUUCUUUAGAAGUAAAAUGCGUAUGUUUUGCAUUCUGUCUCAUCAGCCUUGCCACCCAGCAUCAACCGCAUUCCAGAGAGGCACAUUUCCCCUAUGUACCCUAUAUAGCCAAGAAUGAGUGAGUUCCAGAGCUCCAGCCCAAGGUCUGAUCUUCUUCCUGAAGUGCUUAUUGUCUCAGAUAAGGACAGCCCAUGGUGGUUUUGCCCCAGUUUUCAUGUAAGUGGCCAAAGUCUGGGUGCAGGUGUACAAACUGAGACACUACCGAUGGAUUUCCCUGAGGCCUGGACAGCCAAAGUCAUCUCAGUAUUUCUUCGCUCUUUGGCAGUAGGGACAAAUGAAAUCCUGGCACUUCCCACAGCCGACGGAUCUGCGCUUUAAAUUAGAUCUGGGUUACAGGUUUGUAGACACAGCAGUUGCUUGUCUCAGGGCACCAAUUCUGCUCACACAUCUCUCCGCGCUCCCCCUGCCCACGCAGCCCCCAGCAGUGUGCCUUUCACACCGGCUGUUUGCCCUCCCUCCCUCCCCACUGCCGUGGGCUAUGGCUUGGCUCUCACCUUAGCUGACCCCACUAUUUUUAGCAGGGCUUGUGGUGCUGGAGAACAUGGCUGGAGAGGAGCUGCUCGUGCCAGGAGGAGCCAAAUCCAGCUUGUGCUGGUGAUUCCAACAGAGGAGACUGUACCACCACAGGCAUAAGUGAAGUGACUUUGUCUCAAAUUCAAGAAGUGGGGACCUGAAAGAGCCCUGGGUGUCUAGGCUCAGUAAUGCUACUUGGGUUUUAAUUCCCCUCGGAAAAAAAUGAGACUGGUAGGAGGGACUGGGGCCCCACAGCUCUGGGGCCAUAGGAAGAAAAUAUCCAUGAACUGACAGCACCAUUGCCAAGCUGCACAAGAAGUUGGAUGGGAAAUUGUGUGGCCUGGGACGUUCUUGGCUGCUUGGAGUGAGAUUUUUUAAGCACAGCCGGAAAAGGGGGAUUUUCAAGUAAUUUUGGUGAUUCACAGGAAAUGCCAUUACUGCACAGCUGAUGCUCUACCAGUGCACUUGUUCCUGGAAGACUUUCCUGCAAAGUUUCCCUGGCGAGGUAUUGCUGCCAGGAGUGGUGCCUGCAGGCUGCUUGGAUUGCCUGGGCUCUGCUGCAGAGCUCUGAGCAUCCAGCCAGCCAGAAAGGUUUGGAGACAUGAGAGCCCUGCAUGUUUCUGCUUUCCUUUAGGUCUGCAGGCAGGAGGAGGAACAGCAGGUCCUUUUGUUUGGCACACUCCCCAGGGACAAUUUGCUGAAUGGCGGUGAAGCUGAGGUCGAACUUUUCCAUGAUGUCAGACUUGAAACCACUUGGAGUAUGCUGGUGAAUGCCUUGUGAGGUGAGGCAAGAGGCUCCCAGGAAGUUAUGGGACAAAGGACGUAAAUGGCAGCGAGGCUGAUUCAUGGCUUGUCAUAUCCGUGGCUACGUCAAGUCCUCAGCAGCAGCUUCUCUGGCACUGGUUAAUUUAUUACGCUGCUAGUGAGGAGUGCUGAUAUUUGGCUUCCACACCACACUUCCACUGCUGCAAUCACUCAGCUUCAAAUCACCAGGGAGGGUUGCUCUUUGCAUUGGAUUCACCGCAGUGGGGAAAGAAAAGUCCACGGGAACAAAGAGUGAAGCCCACAGCCUGGGAGGAAGUGCGAGGGGCAACAGUCUGAGCUGCUACUCCAUCUCAUGCUUCUUUUGCUGGGCACCAGGGCGUGUGCUGUGGGAUGACAGCAUGGAGGUGAUGGCCCAGGUAAAGCAGUGACAGCGAUGUCCAGCCACUGCCAAAGAGACCUCCAUACAGAGCAGAGAAGGAAUGACACAGCUAAGCCAAAGACAAGUAAACCUUUGGCCCAUAAAUAACCCCUUUAGAAAUAAAGAGCUGACUCAAUUUAUUCUGCAUGGAUCAAAUUCUAUCUCCUUAUUUUUAGCCUCCGCUCUGCCUCAUGGUGGAGGUGGUGCCCCCCAGCACAGCCUGCAGCCUGCAGCUCCUUCCUGCAGCAACUGCUGCCUGUUGGAAGGCCCUCAUACAGCGUGGGGGUAAUUACUGUGAGCAGGUGUGCUUCCCUUCCGUGGUGGACUUAGGUACAGGUUACAUGGACUGGAAAGAGAAGAAGAGAGAAAUGGAAUGACAUCUACUGGUUUUUCAUGUGAUGCUUAUGCUAAUGACCAGCUCAGAUAUGAAGUCCUGUGAACAUAUUUAACUUUAUGGCACUUGCCUCCUUGCCUUAGCACCUUAGCUUGGAUUCCCAUACUUCACUGCACACAUGAGGAACCGUGCUUGAGGCAAAGUCCACUUCCCAGAUGUGCAGUGUGGGAGGAAGCUCUGUGAUUAGGACGCACCUGCC